Molecule: long non-coding RNA, 671 nt
Filed under: Cricetulus griseus (Chinese hamster)
Lineage: Eukaryota; Metazoa; Chordata; Mammalia; Rodentia; Cricetidae
Description: lncRNA (ENSCGRG00015040970.1)
Source: RNAcentral
GUGACUCAAAAGCAGCAGCAUCACUGAAAAGCCCAUCACCCCACCAUGGGUGGUGAAACAAAAGUUGCAUCCCUGGAGCUUCCUGAUGAGCAGCCUCCUCAGCCAAACCUGUUCUCUACUUUUCUACUCCAGCUGCGUAUUCUCUUUUGAGCUUCCUUCCUUCUCCCAGAGUGAAUGUUACAAUUCUGAGGAAACAGCAGUACACACUAUUCAUUGCCAUGAUUUCCUUAGAACACAUAGAACAGUGAAGGGAAUAUAGGAGAGCAUUUGUUCAUCUCUUGACAACUAUUGAGAAGGCCUGUUGCACUGAUGAGCUUUUGUCAAUGUGACAAAAACCUAGACAUGCCUGGGAAGAUGGAUCAGUUGAGGAACUCUCUCCAUCAGAUUGGCCCGGGAGUGGCACUAUUAGGAAGUGUGGACUUGUUGAAGGAAGUGUGUCACCAUGUAGGCGACCUUUGAGGUCUUAUAUACUCAAGCUAUACCCUGUGUGGCGCACAGUUGCUUCUGCUGUCUGUGGAUGAAGAUGUACAACUCUCAGCUCUUUCUUCAGCACCAUGUCUGCCUGCAGGCCACCAUGAAAAUAAUGGACGAAAUCUCUGAAACUGUAAGCCAGUCCCAAUUAAAUGUUUCUCUUUAAAAGAGUGUCCGUGCUCAUGAUGUCUCUUCACAGC